CACCUCUGGCAAUGGGUAAAGAUACAUCUUGUUGGUUAUGGUGUUCUUCUAUCAGACAGGGGCAGAGUAGAUGGCAGUCUUUUGUUCAUCUAAGCUUGAUGGCUGGCACGGUGGUCAAAGCUCUUUUAUGCUGAGGACUCAUAG
This is a small nucleolar RNA of Mastomys coucha (southern multimammate mouse), 144 nucleotides long. RefSeq annotates it as small nucleolar RNA SNORA48. The record is from RefSeq and is a predicted model, not a curated record. Lineage: Eukaryota; Metazoa; Chordata; Mammalia; Rodentia; Muridae. The transcript has a single exon.